AAUGCCUGUAGAAGCAUUGCAGGUCUAUGCUGUGUCACAUGUAUAUCAGUAGAUGGCAGAGAGGAAAGAGUCUAUACCUACCCUCAAUAUUCUGACCUAUGAAUGUCUGAAUGAUGAGUGUCUUAACAUU
This is a small nucleolar RNA of Grammomys surdaster, 130 nucleotides long. RefSeq annotates it as small nucleolar RNA SNORA17. NCBI's taxonomy places the organism in Eukaryota, Metazoa, Chordata, Mammalia, Rodentia, Muridae. The transcript has a single exon. The record is from RefSeq and is a predicted model, not a curated record.